CAGGAAGUGAAGUCCCUUUGCCAACAGAUUUCUGACACAUUAAAACUUGCGUUUCACAGGAGUAACUAAUCUCAUCAUGAGUAGAGUCUACUACGUCCUCAGUGCUGCUCUUUUUGUGUUAGAAAUUCCAGAGACCAAGGCGCUGCUAGAAAACUCCAAUGACUGUUGUGAAAGAAUAAAGAGAAUGAAUGAAACCUGUGUGAAUAUUACACUCUGUGAUCCUGGACUCCUUCAAGUUCAGGAGAACAGUACAACAUUUUGUGUGUCCUGCGAUUCAACAGAGCAGGGGAAUUCAACUUUACUUA
Sinocyclocheilus rhinocerous is the source of this 305-nucleotide long non-coding RNA. RefSeq lists it as uncharacterized. Lineage: Eukaryota; Metazoa; Chordata; Actinopteri; Cypriniformes; Cyprinidae. The record is from RefSeq and is a predicted model, not a curated record. The transcript is spliced from 4 exons.